RNAcentral lists this ribosomal RNA (525 nucleotides) under Conus quercinus. Its description in RNAcentral is "partial 12S ribosomal RNA". The record is from RNAcentral. Lineage: Eukaryota; Metazoa; Mollusca; Gastropoda; Neogastropoda; Conidae.
UACGGUAAAGACAGUUAGGCUGAAAACUAAAAGCCAUGAGAUUUUUAAUAUAGGAGUAAAAUCUAAGUAUUAAAAGAUAUUCCAGGCAUGGUUUAUUUAAGAUGCUGAAUCUGUGACAACUUUAAGGGAAACUGGGAUUGGAUACCCCAUUAUUUUUAGUUGUAAAUUUAGUCUAAGCUUACCGGAGUACUACGAAUCAAAAAAUUUAAAACUCAAAGGGCUUGGCGGUGUUUUAGACCUCUCAGGGGAACCUGUCUCAUAAUCGACAAUCCGCGCUAAACCUGACCUUUUCUGGUAAUGCAGCCUGUAUACCGUCGUCGUCAGGUAACUUCUUAAAAUAUAGUAGUUAGCUAGAGAAUUGUAUUAAUUAGGACGUCAGAUCAAGGUGCAGCUAAUGAGAGGGUGAAGAUGGGUUACAAUUACAAAUUUGUAAUAACGGAAAGGCGUUUGAAAUUAAAUGCCUUAAAGGAGGACUUGAAAGUAAUUUUAAGUAAAUAAAUAAAAUGAAUAAGGCUCUGAAACGUG